AGCGGAGGAAAAGAAACUAACAAGGAUUCCGCCGUAGGUAACCKUSACGAGCGAACCGGGAAUAGCCCAACGUGUAAAUCUCCCUCGGAGAAUUGUAGUCUACAGAAGCAACUUCUGCAACGGCCGGACCUCAAGUCCCCUGGAAGGGGGCGUCAGAGAGGGUGAGAACCCCGUCGGGUCUUGGUGCGGUUGCCUCACGAAGUGCUCUCCAAGAGUCGGGUUGUUUGGGAAUGCAGCCCAAAUUUGGUGGUAAAUCCCAUCUAAGGCUAAAUAUUGGCGAGAGACCGAUAGCGAACAAGUACCGUGAGGGAAAGAUGAAAAGAACUUUGAAAAGAGAGUUAAAAAGUGCUUGAAAUUGUUGAGGGGGAAGCGAUUGGCAGCUGUGUGUGCACCUAGGCUUACGUCGCCUUAACGGGCGGCUGCAUGUGCUAGGUGCUGGUCAGCAUGGGUUAGCCUGGCAGGAUAAACGCAGGGGUUGUUACCCUGUCUAUACUGCCGGGUUGACCGAGGUGUGAAGGCCGSUCUUGUCCCUCGGGAUCUGCGGCCUCAAGAUGCUGGCGGAAGGCUUUCAAUCGGCCCGUCUUGAAACACGGACCAAGGAGUCUAACAUGUAUGCGAGCUGGUGGGUGGCAAACCCAUGAGGCGCAAGUAACCUGACUGGUGGGAUGGCGUAAGCCUGCACCAUCGACCGACCAUGAUCUUCUGUGAAAGGUUCGAGUACGAGCAUACCUGUUGGGACCCGAAAGAUGGUGAACUAUGCCUGAGCAGGGCGAAGCCAGAGGAAACUCUGGUGGAGGCUCGUAGAUGUGCUGACGUGCAAAUCGCUUUUCGGACGCUUAGGGUAUAGGGGCGAAAGACUAAUCGAACCUUCUAGUA
This 876-nucleotide ribosomal RNA is filed under the name Uronema sp. KGE6. Its description in RNAcentral is "eukaryotic LSU rRNA". It matches the Rfam family "Eukaryotic large subunit ribosomal RNA", at positions 49 to 949 of the family's 3401-position model. Lineage: Eukaryota; Viridiplantae; Chlorophyta; Chlorophyceae; Chaetophorales; Uronemataceae. The record is from RNAcentral.